This 104-nucleotide ribosomal RNA is filed under the name uncultured Actinomycetes bacterium. RNAcentral describes it as "uncultured actinobacterium partial 16S ribosomal RNA". The record is from RNAcentral. Lineage: Bacteria; Bacillati; Actinomycetota; Actinomycetes.
UCGGACUACGUCGUUGCGGCGCACUCCCUACUUCCGGAAGCCCAACAUUUGGAGAAAGGAGGCCCUGCUAAUACUGCCCUGGGACCCUUCUUUGGGGCCCAUUG